AGGACGAACGCUGGCGGCGUGCUUAACACAUGCAAGUCGAGCGGAAAGGCCCUUCGGGGUACUCGAGCGGCGAACGGGUGAGUAACACGUGAGCAACCUGCCCUUAGCUCUGGGAUAGCUCCGGGAAACCGGAAUUAAUACCGGAUAUGACCUAGGCCGACAUCGGCCGUGGUGGAAAGUUUUUCGGCUAGGGAUGGACUCGCGGCCUAUCAGCUAGUUGGUGGGGUAAUGGCCUACCAAGGCGACGACGGGUAGCCGGCCUGAGAGGGCGACCGGCCACACUGGGACUGAGACACGGCCCAGACUCCUACGGGAGGCAGCAGUGGGGAAUCUUGCGCAAUGGGCGAAAGCCUGACGCAGCGACGCCGCGUGGGGAUGAAGGCCUUCGGGUUGUAAACCCUUUCAGCAGGGACGAAGCGAAAGUGACGGUACCUGCAGAAGAAGCGCCGGCUAACUACGCGCCAGCAGCCGC
This 472-nucleotide ribosomal RNA is filed under the name uncultured bacterium. RNAcentral describes it as "SSU rRNA". It matches the Rfam family "Bacterial small subunit ribosomal RNA", at positions 26 to 518 of the family's 1533-position model. The record is from RNAcentral.